Molecule: transfer RNA, 70 nt
Filed under: Dipodomys ordii (Ord's kangaroo rat)
Lineage: Eukaryota; Metazoa; Chordata; Mammalia; Rodentia; Heteromyidae
Rfam family: tRNA
About the family: Transfer RNA (tRNA) molecules are approximately 80 nucleotides in length. Their secondary structure includes four short double-helical elements and three loops (D, anti-codon, and T loops). Further hydrogen bonds mediate the characteristic L-shaped molecular structure. tRNAs have two regions of fundamental functional importance: the anti-codon, which is responsible for specific mRNA codon recognition, and the 3' end, to which the tRNAs corresponding amino acid is attached (by aminoacyl-tRNA synthetases). tRNAs cope with the degeneracy of the genetic code in two manners: having more than one tRNA (with a specific anti-codon) for a particular amino acid; and 'wobble' base-pairing, i.e. permitting non-standard base-pairing at the 3rd anti-codon position.
Source: Rfam by way of RNAcentral
GGGAAUGUGGCUUAGGAGUAGAGUGCUUGCCUAGCAUGCAUGAAGCCCCAGGUUCAAUUCCUCGGUUCCA